UAGGAAUCUACGUGUAGUGGGGACAACGUCUCGAAAGGGACGCUAAUACCGCAUACGUCCUACGGGAGAAAAGCAAGGGGGACCCUUCGGGCCUUGCGCUAUCAGAUGAGCCUAGGUCGGAUUAGCUAGUUGGUGAGGUAAUGGCUCACCAAGGCGACGAUCCGUAACUGGUCUGAGAGGAUGAUCAGUCACACUGGAACUGAGACACGGUCCAGACUCCUACGGGAGGCAGCAGUGGGGAAUAUUGGACAAUGGGCGAAAGCCUGAUCCAGCCAUGCCGCGUGUGUGAAGAAGGUCUUCGGAUUGUAAAGCACUUUAAGUUGGGAGGAAGGGUUGUAGAUUAAUACUCUGCAAUUUGACGUUACCGACAGAAUAAGCACCGGCUAACUCUGUG
RNAcentral lists this ribosomal RNA (394 nucleotides) under uncultured bacterium. RNAcentral's name for it is "bacterial SSU rRNA". It matches the Rfam family "Bacterial small subunit ribosomal RNA", at positions 118 to 507 of the family's 1533-position model. The record is from RNAcentral.